This 71-nucleotide transfer RNA is filed under the name Prevotellaceae bacterium. Its description in RNAcentral is "tRNA-Gln". It matches the Rfam family "tRNA". Rfam says of the family: Transfer RNA (tRNA) molecules are approximately 80 nucleotides in length. Lineage: Bacteria; Pseudomonadati; Bacteroidota; Bacteroidia; Bacteroidales; Prevotellaceae. The record is from RNAcentral.
UGACCUAUGGUGUAACGGUAGCACAACAGACUCUGGAUCUGUUUGUAUAGGUUCGAAUCCUAUUAGGUCAA